Molecule: ribosomal RNA, 401 nt
Filed under: uncultured bacterium
Lineage: Bacteria
Description: bacterial SSU rRNA
Rfam family: Bacterial small subunit ribosomal RNA
Source: RNAcentral
AAUCAACGCUGGCGGCGUGCCUAACACAUGCAAGUCGAACGCGAAAGCCCCGCAAGGGGUCAGUAGAGUGGCAAACGGGUGAGUAACACGUGGGUGACCUGCCUUCGAGUGGGGGAUAACGUCCCGAAAGGGACGCUAAUACCGCAUCAUAUGCUGCCUUUGAAGAGGUGGACAUCAAAGCUGGGGAUCGCAAGACCUAGCGCUUGAAGAGGGGCCCGCGCCUGAUUAGCUAGUUGGUGGGGUAAUGGCUCACCAAGGCUACGAUCAGUAUCCGGCCUGAGAGGGCGGACGGACACACUGGGACUGAGACACGGCCCAGACUCCUACGGGAGGCAGCAGUGGGGAAUUGUUCGCAAUGGGCGCAAGCCUGACGACGCAACGCCGCGUGGAGGAUGAAGACC